This 295-nucleotide long non-coding RNA is filed under the name Anas platyrhynchos platyrhynchos (common mallard). RNAcentral's name for it is "lncRNA (ENSAPLG00000018652.1)". Lineage: Eukaryota; Metazoa; Chordata; Aves; Anseriformes; Anatidae. The record is from RNAcentral.
GGGGUCAGGAUUUUGGGGUCCCCUCUGUCAAUGGGGUCUGGGUUUUGGGGUCCCCAUGGGCAUUAGGGUGGGGGUCCCAGGUUUUGGGGUCCCCAGGGGCUUUAGGGUCAGGAUUUUGGGGUCCCCUGGGCCAUUGGGAUCCAGGUUUUGGGGUCCCCUGGGGUAUUGGGGUGGGGGUUUUGGGGUGGGGGUUUUGGGGUCCCCUGGAUUUUGGGGUCCCGUACCCAUCUCGGCGCUCCAUGUUUGGGGUGGGGGCGCCCCCAGGAAGCAGUGAGCGGCCGUCAGCACCCAGCGG